RNAcentral lists this ribosomal RNA (2793 nucleotides) under human gut metagenome. Its description in RNAcentral is "bacterial LSU rRNA". It matches the Rfam family "Bacterial large subunit ribosomal RNA". The record is from RNAcentral.
AGGGCGCAUGGCGGAUGCCUUGGCUCUCGGAGGCGAUGAAGGACGUGAUAAGCUGCGAUAAGCUUUGGGGAGGUGCAAAUGACCUUUGAUCCAGAGAUUUCCGAAUGGGACAACCCAAUAUCUUGAAGAGGUAUUAUCCAACGUUGUUGGAGGCUAACGCAGGGAACUGAAACAUCUUAGUACCUGCAGGAAAAGAAAAUAAACAAUGAUUCCCCCAGUAGUGGCGAGCGAACGGGGAACAGCCCAAACCAUCCAUGUUACGGCAUGGGUGGGGUUGUAGGACUACGCCGUUGCAUGAAGACAUCAGAGAAGAACUUUCUGGAAAGAAAGACCAUAGAGCAUGACAGUUGCGUAUUCGAAUGUUGUCGAAGCAUAGUAGUAUCCUGAGUAGCGCGGAGCACGAGGAAUUCUGCGUGAAUCUGCCGGGACCAUCCGGUAAGGCUAAAUACUCCCGAGAGACCGAUAGCGAACCAGUACCGUGAGGGAAAGGUGAAAAGCACUUCGAACAGAAGAGUGAAAUAGUUCCUGAAACCGUGCGCCUACAAGCGGUCGGAGCUCGUUAAUGAGUGACGGCGUGCCUUUUGCAUAAUGAACCUACGAGUUGCCUUUGCCGGCAAGGUUAAGUGUGACGACACACGUAUCCGAAGCGAAAGCGAGUCUGAACAGGGCGUAUAGUCGGCAGUGGCAGACGCGAAACCAAGUGAUCUACCCUUGGCCAGGUUGAAGGCUGGGUAACACCAGCUGGAGGACCGCACCAAUAAGCGUUGAAAAGCUUCUGGAUGAGCUGAGGGUAGGGGUGAAAGGCUAAUCAAACUUGGAGAUAGCUCGUACUCCCCGAAAUGCAUUUAGGUGCAGCCUUGCGGGUUACUGAUGUGAGGUAGAGCGACUGAUAAGAUGCGAGGGCUUCACCGCCUAUCAAGUCUUGACAAACUCCGAAUGCGCAUCAGUUCUACCGCAGGAGUGAGGGCAUGGGUGCUAAGGUCCGUGCCCGAGAGGAGAAGAAUCCGGACCACCUGCUAAGGUCCCGAAAUGACAGCUAAGUUAAACUAACGAAGUCUGACUGCUAAGACAGCUAGGAUGUUGGCUUGGAAGCAGCCAUUCAUUUAAAGAGUGCGUAACAGCUCACUAGUCGAGGAGUCGGGCGUGGAUAAUAAUCGGGUAUCAAGUUGUCUACCGAAGCAGUGGGAUCAUUAAUAUGAUCGGUAGGGGAGCAUUCCAGUCAGCGUCGAAGGCGUACCGUGAGGUAUUCUGGAGCGUCUGGAAAAGCAAAUGUAGGUAUAAGUAACGAUAAAGGGGGCGGGAAACCCCCUCGCCGAAAGACUAAGGUUUCCUGAUCAACGCUAAUCGGAUCAGGGUCAGUCGGGUCCUAAGGCUCAGCCGAACGGCGAUGCCGAUGGCAGAAACGGUUAAUAUUCCGUUACUACCUUCAGGAGUGACGUGGAGACGCAGUAGUGACAGUGCCGCCAUCUGACGGAAUAGAUGGUUGAAGGGUGUAGGAGUCGAUCAUGGCAGGCAAAUCCACCAUGAGAUCCGAACCUGACAGUAUGCCGCGUCCUUCGGGACAAGGCAAUAGUGCGCGUAAGCAUGCUGCCGAGAAAAUCCGCUAAACUUAAUCCUGCAGGUACCCGUACCGCAAACGGACACACGUAGUCGGGAUGAAUAUUCUAAGGCGCUUGAGUGAUUCACGGUUAAGGAACUAGGCAAACUGACCCUGUAACUUCGGGAUAAAGGGUCCCUACCCUUUUAUGGGAGGGCGCAGAGAAUCGGUCCAGGCAACUGUUUAACAAAAACACAGGGCUGUGCCAAAUCGAAAGAUCCAGUAUACAGCCUGACACCUGCCCGGUGCUGGAAGGUUAAGAGGAGAUGUCAUCGAUAAGAGAAGCGUUGAAUUGAAGCCCCAGUAAACGGCGGCCGUAACUAUAACGGUCCUAAGGUAGCGAAAUUCCUUGUCGGGUAAGUUCCGACCUGCACGAAUGGUGUAAUGAUCUGGACACUGUCUCAACCGUGAGCUCAGUGAAAUUGUAGUAUCGGUGAAGAUGCCGAUUACCCGCGAUGGGACGAAAAGACCCCGUGAACCUUUACUAUAGCUUAUCAUUGAAUCUGGGCACGUGAUGUGUAGGAUAGGUCGGAGGCUUUGAAGCAGGUACGCCAGUAUUUGUGGAGCCGCUGUUGAAAUACGACCCUUUAUUUGUUUGGAUUCUAACCCGUGGAACGGGGACAUUGAUUGGUGGGUAGUUUGACUGGGGUGGUCGCCUCCAAAAGCGUAACGGAGGCUUCUAAAGGUGCCCUCCGGCCGAUUGGUAACCGGCCUUAGAGUGUAAUGGCAUAAGGGCGCUUGACUGGGAGACUAACAAGUCGAUCAGGUAGGAAACUAGAGCAUAGUGAUCCGGUGUUUCCGUAUGGAAGGGACAUCGCUCAAAGGAUAAAAGGUACUCCGGGGAUAACAGGCUGAUCCCUCCCAAGAGCUCAUAUCGACGGAGUGGUUUGGCACCUCGAUGUCGGCUCGUCACAUCCUGGGGCUGGAGAAGGUCCCAAGGGUUGGGCUGUUCGCCCAUUAAAGUGGCACGCGAGCUGGGUUCAGAACGUCGUGAGACAGUUCGGUCUCUAUCUAUCGUGGGCGUAUGAAAUUUGCGUGGCUCUGACACUAGUACGAGAGGACCGUGUUGGACAGACCUCUGGUUUGCCGGUUGUGCCGCCAGGUGCAUUGCCGGGUAUCUAAGUCUGGAUCGGAUAAGUGCUGAAAGCAUCUAAGUACGAAGCCGGCCACAAGAUUAGAUUUCUCAGGGUCGUUGU